This is a long non-coding RNA of Acinonyx jubatus (cheetah), 1611 nucleotides long. RefSeq lists it as uncharacterized. The transcript is spliced from 4 exons. NCBI's taxonomy places the organism in Eukaryota, Metazoa, Chordata, Mammalia, Carnivora, Felidae. The record is from RefSeq and is a predicted model, not a curated record.
GGAACGCCGCCCCCGCCCCCGGGGCCCGCGUCACGACAGCCGGCUCCGCCUUACGGCCGCGCCGCGCCGCCGGGCGCUCGGCCUAUGGGAGGGCGCAGGGCGGGAGGCGGCGGCGCGGAUUGGCUGGGACCUGCUGCCGUAAAACGGCCGGGGCCGGCCGGGGAUUGGCUGGCGCUGGCUCAGCCCCGGCCGCCGCAGUCCUCUGGCGCGGAGGUGACGGUCGGUGGCGGCCGCCCGAGGGUCUGUGCCGCGGUACCCGCAAGGGCACCUUGGCCGGGCCGGGGUGCGCCCGGAGUGUCCGCGUGGGCGGCCCGGGUGCGCUCUGGGUACGCCCUGUCGGGGAGGCGGGACAGGAGGGUUCGGUUGGUCGGGUCUCUUUUUUAACUGUCCCCCCUCCCCCGCUUUUUUAUUUGCUGAUGUUUGAGGUGGGGGGAAGGGCAGAGAGAGAGGAAGACAGAUGAUCCAAAGCAGGCUCUGUGCUGCCUGCGCAGAGAGCGGCCGAGACCCUGACGCGGGGCUAGAACUCAAGGACCCGAGAGAGAACAUGACCUGAGCCGGAAUGGGUUGCUUAACCGACUGAGCCACCCAGGCGCCCUGGUUUUUAAAAUCUUCUGUUAGGGGCCCCAGAUGAAAACCAUCGGCCCUCACCAUGCCUUUUGGUGAAGGUGUAGGGGACGGGCGGCAGGCAGUCUCUGGUAGGAGCCUAAAUUGGAUGUCAACACUGCUGUGGGCGGUUGGUGGCGUGGAUUGACGUUGGCUAUGGACACGCCCUUUGGCCCAGCUGGCCCUUCUCCAGCGGCCCCCCCGCCCCCCCGACAGGCAAGCUUGUGCAAUUUCAGAUGCACAGCAUUAUUUUUAAUAUGUCCACCCACAGGGAGAGUUAGAUCACGCUGCAUCCAUUCCACUGAAUCAUGAGCAGUGGAUCAGAAGAAUCCUCUGCAGAUUCCUAGACCCCCGCAAGCUUAGAGCUUCAGGAGAUCUGGAGGGGAGCCUCUGAAAGCUGGUCAGUGACAGCAUGUGGAGAAACACUACUGAGGGCUCCUGUCCCCAGUUCCUGGUGUCACCACCAGGCCAGCUUCUGAACAUUCUGCUUGCCACAGUUCGGCCACACUUGGAUCUUCGAGGCUUCUGUUAAGGUCCCAUUGCGUGGAAGGUUUUCUUCUGGAAAUGGGGAUAACGAGGACCAUGUUGUCCAUCUGGGACAGCUGUUGUGAUGACAAGAGACAAUUUCCGAGGAGGACUUGGGGGCUUUUCCAGUGCGAACCCAACCGAGCGUUGCCGGCACAAAGUUCCUUCCUGGAAAGAAACGCUUCGGUGUCUCGACUCUGUGCGAACCUCGGUGUCCGUUCCACUCUCUCUGCCCCCGCCUGUGCGCACUGUCUCUGUCGCUCUCUAAAUAAACUUAAAAAAAAAUUUUUUUUAACAUUUAUUUAUUUUUGAGACACAGAGCAUGAACGGGGGAGGGUCAGAGAGAGAGGGAGACACAGAAUCGGAAACAGGCUCCAGGCCCUGAGCUGUCAGCACAGAGCCCGACGCGGGGCUCAAACUCACAGACCGCGAGAUCGUGACCUGAGCUGAAGUCGGCUGCUUAACCGACUGAGCCACCCAGGC